This 1301-nucleotide ribosomal RNA is filed under the name Salmonella enterica subsp. enterica. RNAcentral's name for it is "partial 23S ribosomal RNA". It matches the Rfam family "Bacterial large subunit ribosomal RNA", at positions 566 to 1781 of the family's 2925-position model. The record is from RNAcentral. Lineage: Bacteria; Pseudomonadati; Pseudomonadota; Gammaproteobacteria; Enterobacterales; Enterobacteriaceae.
AAAGCAUUCUCUGGUGUUGAAGGCCCUGCAAAGCAGCAUCGCGGUGGCGGAGCGUCGUUUGCGACGCCCAACACACAAAACAAGCGGUGAGUGCUUUGGGGUGGGGUGACUGCGUACCUUUUGUAUAAUGGGUCAGCGACUUAUAUUCUGUAGCAAGGUUAACCGUAUAGGGGAGCCGGAGGGAAACCGAGUCUUAAUUGGGCGUUAAGUUGCAGGGUAUAGACCCGAAACCCGGUGAUCUAGCCAUGGGCAGGUUGAAGGUUGGGUAACACUAACUGGAGGACCGAACCGACUAAUGUUGAAAAAUUAGCGGAUGACCUGUGGCUGGGGGUGAAAGGCCAAUCAAACCGGGAGAUAGCUGGUUCUCCCCGAAAGCUAUUUAGGUAGCGCCUCGUGAACUCAUCUCCGGGGGUAGAGCACUGUUUCGGCUAGGGGGCCAUCCCGGCUUACCAACCCGAUGCAAACUGCGAAUACCGGAGAAUGUUAUCACGGGAGACACACGGCGGGUGCUAACGUCCGUCGUGAAGAGGGAAACAACCCAGACCGCCAGCUAAGGUCCCAAAGUCACAGUUAAGUGGGAAACGAUGUGGGAAGGCUCAGACAGCCAGGAUGUUGGCUUAGAAGCAGCCAUCAUUUAAAGAAAGCGUAAUAGCUCACUGGUCGAGUCGGCCUGCGCGGAAGAUGUAACGGGGCUAAACUGUGCACCGAAGCUGCGGCAGCGACGCUUAUGCGUUGUUGGGUAGGGGAGCGUUCUGUAAGCCUGCGAAGGUGUCCCGUGAGGGAUGCUGGAGGUAUCAGAAGUGCGAAUGCUGACAUAAGUAACGAUAAUGCGGGUGAAAAACCCGCACGCCGGAAGACCAAGGGUUCCUGUCCAACGUUAAUCGGGGCAGGGUGAGUCGACCCCUAAGGCGAGGCCGAAAGGCGUAGUCGAUGGGAAACAGGUUAAUAUUCCUGUACUUGGUGUUACUGCGAAGGGGGGACGGAGAAGGCUAUGUUAGCCGGGCGACGGUUGUCCCGGUUUAAGCAUGUAGGCGGGUGUUUCAGGUAAAUCCGGAACGCUACUAACGCUGAGGUGUGAUGACGAGGCACUACGGUGCUGAAGUAACAAAUGCCCUGCUUCCAGGAAAAGCCUCUAAGCAUCAGGUAACAUCAAAUCGUACCCCAAACCGACACAGGUGGUCAGGUAGAGAAUACCAAGGCGCUUGAGAGAACUCGGGUGAAGGAACUAGGCAAAAUGGUGCCGUAACUUCGGGAGAAGGCACGCUGAUACGUAGGUGAAGUCCCUUGCGGAUGGAGCUGAA